AGUGAACGCUGGCGGUAGGCCUAACACAUGCAAGUCGAACGGCAGCACAGUAAGAUCUUGCUCUUACGGGUGGCGAGUGGCGGACGGGUGAGGAAUACAUCGGAAUCUACUUUUUCGUGGGGGAUAACGUAGGGAAACUUACGCUAAUACCGCAUACGACCUACGGGUGAAAGCAGGGGAUCUUCGGACCUUGCGCGAUUGAAUUAGCCGAUGUCGGAUUAGCUAGUUGGCGGGGUAAAGGCCCACCAAGGCGACGAUCCGUAGCUGGUCUGAGAGGAUGAUCAGCCACACUGGAACUGAGACACGGUCCAGACUCCUACGGGAGGCAGCAGUGGGGAAUAUUGGACAAUGGGCGCAAGCCUGAUCCAGCCAUACCGCGUGGGUGAAGAAGGCCUUCGGGUUGUAAAGCCCUUUUGUUGGGAAAGAAAAGCAGCAGGUUAAUACCCCGCUGUUCUGACGGUACCCAAAGAAUAAGCACCGGCUAACUUCGUG
This 492-nucleotide ribosomal RNA is filed under the name uncultured bacterium. RNAcentral describes it as "partial 16S ribosomal RNA". It matches the Rfam family "Bacterial small subunit ribosomal RNA", at positions 29 to 507 of the family's 1533-position model. The record is from RNAcentral.